This 465-nucleotide ribosomal RNA is filed under the name uncultured Pseudomonas sp. RNAcentral describes it as "bacterial SSU rRNA". It matches the Rfam family "Bacterial small subunit ribosomal RNA", at positions 338 to 795 of the family's 1533-position model. Lineage: Bacteria; Pseudomonadati; Pseudomonadota; Gammaproteobacteria; Pseudomonadales; Pseudomonadaceae. The record is from RNAcentral.
CCUACGGGGGGCUGCAGUGGGGAAUAUUGGACAAUGGGCGAAAGCCUGAUCCAGCCAUGCCGCGUGUGUGAAGAAGGUCUUCGGAUUGUAAAGCACUUUAAGUUGGGAGGAAGGGCAUUAACCUAAUACGUUAGUGUUUUGACGUUACCGACAGAAUAAGCACCGGCUAACUCUGUGCCAGCAGCCGCGGUAAUACAGAGGGUGCAAGCGUUAAUCGGAAUUACUGGGCGUAAAGCGCGCGUAGGUGGUUUGUUAAGUUGAAUGUGAAAUCCCCGGGCUCAACCUGGGAACUGCAUCCAAAACUGGCAAGCUAGAGUAUGGUAGAGGGUAGUGGAAUUUCCUGUGUAGCGGUGAAAUGCGUAGAUAUAGGAAGGAACACCAGUGGCGAAGGCGACUACCUGGACUGAUACUGACACUGAGGUGCGAAAGCGUGGGGAGCAAACAGGAUUAGAUACCCCGGUAGUC